UUUGUUUUCCCAGCACUUAAUUAAUUCUUUUUCGCACAAUAGUUUCUACACCGGAAACUAUUGUGUACCUUUCACCGGAUCUAACCUUACGUUAGAAUCUAGUUUUUAUUCCUUCGCUUUUAUUUUUCUGUUUGAUUGAAGAAUUCAAGAACAAAUCCAACCGGCCUGUGGUGGAGUGUUCAAGACUGCUAUUUAAUUUCUCAGGUUCUUUA
This 212-nucleotide long non-coding RNA is filed under the name Lathyrus oleraceus (garden pea). RNAcentral's name for it is "Pisum sativum (pea) long non-coding RNA (PSAT_LNC032660)". Lineage: Eukaryota; Viridiplantae; Streptophyta; Magnoliopsida; Fabales; Fabaceae. The record is from RNAcentral.